Molecule: ribosomal RNA, 440 nt
Filed under: uncultured bacterium
Lineage: Bacteria
Description: partial 16S ribosomal RNA
Rfam family: Bacterial small subunit ribosomal RNA
Source: RNAcentral
CCUACGGGCGGCAGCAGUGAGGAAUAUUGCACAAUGGGGGAAACCCUGAUGCAGCGACGCCGCGUGAGUGAAGAAGUAAUUCGUUAUGUAAAGCUCUAUCAGCAGGGAAGAAAAUGACGGUACCUGACUAAGAAGCCCCGGCUAAAUACGUGCCAGCAGCCGCGGUAAUACGUAGGGGGCAAGCGUUAUCCGGAUUUACUGGGUGUAAAGGGAGCGUAGACGGCGGUGCAAGUCUGGAGUGAAAGGCGGGGGCUCAACCCCCGGACUGCACUGGAAACUGUACGGCUGGAGUGCAGGAGAGGUAAGUGGAAUUCCUAGUGUAGCGGUGAAAUGCGUAGAUAUUAGGAGGAACACCAGUGGCGAAGGCGGCUUACUGGACUGUAACUGACGUUGAGGCUCGAAAGCGUGGGGAGCAAACAGGAUUAGAUACCCCUGUAGUC